UGGGGAAUCUUGCACAAUGGGGGCAACCCUGAUGCAGCGACGCCGCGUGAGCGAUGAAGCCCUUCGGGGCGUAAAGCUCUUUCGACCGGAACGAUAAUGACGGUACCGGGAGAAGAAGCUGCGGCUAACUACGUGCCAGCAGCCGCGGUAAUACGUAGGCAGCAAGCGUUGUUCGGAGUUGCUGGGCGUAAAGAGUGCGUAGGCGGUUUUCUAAGUUCGGUGUGAAAUCUCCCGGCUUAACUGGGAGGGUGCGCCGAAGACUGGGAAGCUGGAGUGUGGGAAAGGCAGGCGGAAUUCCUGGUGUAGCGGUGAAAUGCGUAGAUAUCAGGAGGAACACCGGCGGUGUAGACGGCUUGCUAGACCAUAACUGACGCUGAGGCACGAAAGCGUGGGUAGCAAACA
RNAcentral lists this ribosomal RNA (402 nucleotides) under uncultured bacterium. Its description in RNAcentral is "bacterial SSU rRNA". It matches the Rfam family "Bacterial small subunit ribosomal RNA", at positions 355 to 774 of the family's 1533-position model. The record is from RNAcentral.